CUAGAGGUGGCAAUAUGGAUGCAAAACCAUUAAACCAAUCCAAACCAAACCAAAAUUAUGAAUUUGGAUCCAUUUGAAAUCACAUUUAUAAAAAUGGAUUUGGUUUGGUUUUUAGUCUCACAUUUCUCACAAAAUAUGGUUCUAACCAUAUUUGGUCUCACUUUUAAGAUUUUUUAUAACUCUCCACACACACUAUUAGGUUCCUUUUCUUUUCUUUCUUUCUUUUUGCAAUUUAUCACACAUGCACAUCCCAUGAUUCGAACUCAUGACCUUACUUGGAGAAGCCAAGAGCUUAAACCACUCCAUCAACUCACACAUGCUUUUGUUAUAUUUAGUAUUCAUUAUAUUGUGAUUUGAGUGUAUUAACUUUUGGUCAUUAUAUAAAACUUAUUUUUACUUACUAAACUAGUUACCCAUAAUUCAAACUAAAACCAUAACCACAUUUAUUAAUAUAUGGUUUGGAAAUGGUUUUGGUUCAUCUAUCUAAACCAAAUCCAUUUUAUAAGAACCAAAAUCAAACCAAAACCACAUUUUGCCACCUCUA
RNAcentral lists this long non-coding RNA (544 nucleotides) under Daucus carota (carrot). RNAcentral describes it as "long non-coding RNA (DCAR_LNC005266)". Lineage: Eukaryota; Viridiplantae; Streptophyta; Magnoliopsida; Apiales; Apiaceae. The record is from RNAcentral.